This 253-nucleotide ribosomal RNA is filed under the name uncultured bacterium. Its description in RNAcentral is "partial 16S ribosomal RNA". It matches the Rfam family "Bacterial small subunit ribosomal RNA", at positions 524 to 776 of the family's 1533-position model. The record is from RNAcentral.
UACGGAGGGGGCAAACGUUGUUCGGAAUUACUGGGCGUAAAGGGUGCGUAGGCGGUUCGGUAAGUCUAGCGUGAAAUCUCGUCGCUUAACGACGAAACUGCGCUGGAUACUGCUGAGCUCGAGGGUGGGAGAGGCUAGUGGAAUUCCUGGUGUAGCGGUGGAAUGCGUAGAUAUCAGGAAGAACACUCGUGGCGAAGGCGGCUAGCUGGCCCAUUCCUGACGCUGAGGCACGAAAGCCAGGGGAGCGAACGGG